UUGGAUUUGAAGGUAAUUUUUUUUCAGGGCUUAUAGAAUUGGAUUAAAUGUGUUUUUGUGAUUGCCAACCGAUUUGUUGUGAAUACUCAGAGUCAGAGAUCUCUACUUAUUGUUGCUGAAGAUGUAGAAAGUGAAGCACUAGCUACUCUCAUCAUAAACAAGCUCCGUGUUGGAAUCAAGGUCUGCGCCAUUAAAGCUCCUAGUUUUGGAGAAAGAAGGAAGGCCAAUUUACGAGAUCUUGCCAUUCUUACUGGAGGGGAGGUAAUAACUGAGGAGCUCGGUAUGAAUCUUGAAAAAGUGGGACCAGAAGUGCUCGGCACAUGUAAAUAG
Molecule: long non-coding RNA, 330 nt
Organism: Humulus lupulus (European hop)
Lineage: Eukaryota; Viridiplantae; Streptophyta; Magnoliopsida; Rosales; Cannabaceae
Exons: 3
Source: RefSeq, a predicted model, not a curated record